RNAcentral lists this ribosomal RNA (207 nucleotides) under uncultured bacterium. RNAcentral's name for it is "partial 16S ribosomal RNA". It matches the Rfam family "Bacterial small subunit ribosomal RNA", at positions 568 to 774 of the family's 1533-position model. The record is from RNAcentral.
CGCGCAGGCGGCGGCGUGGGUCCGGCGUGAAAGCCCCCGGCUCAACCGGGGAACGUCGUCGGGGACCGCGCCGCUUGAGGGCGGCAGGGGCCGGUGGAAUGCCUGGUGUAGUGGUGAAAUGCGUAGAGAUCAGGCGGAACACCCGUGGCGAAGGCGGCCGGCUGGGCCGUCCCUGACGCUGAGGCGCGAAGGCGUGGGGAGCGAACG